CUACGGGUGGCUGCAGUGAGGAAUAUUGCACAAUGGGGGGAACCCUGAUGCAGCAACGCCGCGUGGAGGAUGACGCAUUUCGGUGUGUAAACUCCUUUUAUAUGUCAAGAAAAUGACGGUAGCAUAUGAAUAAGCACCGGCUAACUCCGUGCCAGCAGCCGCGGUAAUACGGAGGGUGCAAGCGUUACUCGGAAUCACUGGGCGUAAAGGACGCGUAGGCGGGUUGGCAAGUCAGGUGUGAAAUCCUACAGCUUAACUGUAGAACUGCACUUGAAACUGCUAAUCUAGAGUAUGGGAGGGGGAGAUGGAAUUAGUGGUGUAGGGGUAAAAUCCGUAGAUAUCAGUAGGAAUACCUAAAGCGAAGGCGAUCUCCUGGAACAUUACUGACGCUAAGGCGUGAAAGCGUGGGGAGCAAACAGGAUUAGAUACCCGGGUAGUC
Molecule: ribosomal RNA, 439 nt
Filed under: uncultured bacterium
Lineage: Bacteria
Description: partial 16S ribosomal RNA
Rfam family: Bacterial small subunit ribosomal RNA
Source: RNAcentral